RNAcentral lists this ribosomal RNA (516 nucleotides) under uncultured soil bacterium. RNAcentral's name for it is "bacterial SSU rRNA". It matches the Rfam family "Bacterial small subunit ribosomal RNA", at positions 26 to 513 of the family's 1533-position model. The record is from RNAcentral.
AGAGCGAACGUUAGCGGCGGGCCUAACACAUGCAAGUCGAACGAGAAUGUAGGCUUCGGCCUACUAGUAAAGUGGCGGACGGGUGCGUAACACGUGGGUAAUCUACCUUUCGGCGGGGGAUAACGAUUCGAAAGGAUCGCUAAUACCGCGUACGACGACGAGGACUCCGGUCCAUGUUGGGAAAGACGGCCUCUUCAUGAAAGCUGUCACCGAAAGAUGAACUCGCGGCCCAUCAGCUAGUUGGUGAGGUAACGGCUCACCAAGGCAUAGACGGGUAGCUGGUCUGAGAGGAUGAUCAGCCACACUGGGACUGCGACACGGCCCAGACUCCUACGGGAGGCAGCAGUGGGGAAUAGUUGGGCAAGUGGGCGCAAGCCUGACCCAGCCACGCCGCGUGAGUGAUGAAGGCCGUUCGGUCGUAAAGCUCGUGUGGGAGGAACGAAAAAGGACGGAGCUAAGUACGUACCCGGACUUGACGGUACCUCGUAGCAAGCCACCGGCUAACCCGUGUACGCC